GGCUCUAGCGGGCGACCGAUCAGGACGAAGAUUUGACACGACUGUUCUAUGGAUGCUUAUUAUUAUGACUGGAUAAACAAUAAAAAAUAAAUAAAUAGUGGGGGGAGGGCCUAGAAAAUACCAGUCAACGAACUCUCCCUCCUGGGACGAGACGUUGACCUGGAAUCCGUGGACGAUGGCGGCCAACGAUAGCACUGUCCGGUGAUAUCGACCGUUCGAUCUGAGGAAUGGAAAGAAUCGACAGGAGCGGAAUGGAGUCUCUACGGCGGCG
This 271-nucleotide long non-coding RNA is filed under the name Spirodela polyrhiza (greater duckweed). Its description in RNAcentral is "long non-coding RNA (SPOL_LNC000178)". The record is from RNAcentral. Lineage: Eukaryota; Viridiplantae; Streptophyta; Magnoliopsida; Alismatales; Araceae.